GAGGCGAAGAGGCCUGAGGGUGACGGCGGUGGCGUUUCAUUCGCGGAGCAGAGAAAGGGCUAGGCUCGCGCGCCAGAGGGAGGAGCUUCGUGGCGGGGUCGCAUGGCCGAGCUCACGGCCAGAGCGGAUAAGGCGAGGCCAGGAGCACGCAGGGCCUGCCGGAUUCGAGCGAGAGGAACCACCUCAACACCAGAGGGAGGAGGCCAGCAACCACCUGUCGACAAUUCGGUGCGCAGGCAGCAGUGGAUGCAGCAAGGAUGGAAACAGCUUCGUUGACCACGGGACUGACGGUGCAUAAAGUGAUUUGCGUAGGUGAUGUGUUUUCCUAAUAGAAGAUGUCACACCUUGGCUGUGAGAAUUAUGUGCUGACUAUCCAAUUUUGCAUACAGCUCGGUGAGUCUCCUUCCCACUGUGUUCAGAUUAUUCGAUUUUCCCAUAGUUCACAUUGGUAAUUUGAGCUUAAAUUGGAUACAGAUGUAUGUACUGCUGUUAUGACUACUGCUACUUGAGCACUUCAGCAGUUGUUGCUAUUCGAUACUGAGAUUGAUUUAGAAAUAACGUGACAGAGUUAAUUACAUACAUAGUGACGUAAAAGCUCAUUGAUGUGCACAAGAUAUACAUGAACAUCUAUUUAUGGGUUCUGGGAAGUAUUUUAUGUAAUUUCCAGUCUUGAGUACAUGCAGAUUUCAUGUCCCGUGAUCUGGGGAAGCUUAUGUAAUUUAAGCCAUGACAUGUUUUUUCCUUUGGUUAUUUACCUUGGUGCAUGCCAAUCAAAUAUUUCUUCUAUGGAUGUGAUGCAUACUUUGAUUUUCAAGGCUUUUUUAUGAGAAUUUGCAAAAAAAAAAGGCUUUUUUAUGAGGAAGAGGAUGUCAUAUUAUGUUGUGUUGCAGGACAUGACUUUUAUAAAUCAUCUAAACAAAACAAAAAACGUACAUUAGACUUGAUCGACACAUGUGUGUAGUAUUAUGUAUUCUUCCUAAUUUUGUGUUUGUUACUCAUGCUAAUAAUUCAUACAGCUAAGUAUUGAAGAAGGAAAAUCAAUCAUUAUUUUUUAAAGGUUUUCUUUCCUUCUACAUUGAAAGUUUUUCUUGGUGAGGUGGUGGAGGUAGGUUAUAUUAUCAUGAUAUCCAUGUAUGCUUCUUUCUUGGUAUAAAUGUUCUAUAUAACCAAGGAUAUGCAGAGCUAGCUUGAUGUUGCACAUGUAUAAGGGGCACAAUUAGUUAUAUGGUGUAAAAAAUAGUAGUAGGUUACCUCUUUAUUUCCAUGUCCUCAGAGAUUUUAAUUUGGAAUUGUGGAUGUUAUUUUAAAAAACAGAAUGUGUCAUUCUCAUAGAGAUGUGUCAGUGAAAGAAGAAUCCCUGCUUUAUACCCCACACCUUACACUGGAAAAUUCUGAUUCAGAUCCUGGAUUGCAUAGACGUACAGUUAGUAUUAUUUGUUCUACCCCAAAAAAAUAGGCCAAUCAGGAAAGCCUUCUUAAUUAUCAAUGGGAAGCCAAUUUACCAUGUCAUGUCUUAUCGUACUCAUCUUUGAAAGGAAUAGAUAUUGAAUUUCACAAUCGUGUGUUACCCUUAAAAUCAUCUACUCUCCCUGUCUUACGUUUAUUCGUUUUCUGAUUGUUUUAUUCAAAAUAAACUAAACCAUUUGGAAUUGAACCUACAAUGCUGCUCUAUGUCAAGGGAUUUUUUUGUUUUUCAUCAAUUCGUUUAUAUCUAGCGUAUACAGAAUGCUAAAAAGAAGCAUACCCCGAUGAAAACAUGUAUCAGUAAGAACUAUACAUGUUUCUGACCAUACCUUGGCAUAAGCUAAUCCUGGGAUAUACAGAACUAGCAUAGCACCCUUUUUUUUAUUUCCACAACGUAUGGUUCUAAAUUUUCAGGCGGUGUACUCCCUGCUACCAUCUGAACUCGCCCGUAUGAAACUCCAUUGCGCACUGUGAGCCAUGGUAUCGACGUUUUCAAUGGCUUACUGUGUGUUCUUUCUGCUAGCCUGGUCCUCCUGUCGGCGUCGCUGAUAUCACAGCUGCGGAGCACGAAUGGACACAUGCUCACAUGCCAGAUUGCACAGAUAAAAGAAUAUGACAUUCAGUUUCAUUGUAAGAUGUUCACAUGCAUUGCCAAGUGGCAACUGAAAUGGGUGGUUGAUCCUGUUGCAAGUCUGCUGGAGCCUGCUGCCGCACACACCAUGAAGAACCUACUCCUUGAGGAGACGGGCGACGACAUAUCCGUGGUGUACACCUGGCUAGACCAGAUAUAUGGACGCGCUACUGCUGUUAAUGGCUAGGGUGAAAAGAUCACUGUCUCACCUUGGUACUCUCAUUCCCCAUGAAUUUGUCGCGCUCGGGUUGUACUUUGGGGUGAAGCCAUCAAGGGCCCAACCCACAGAAAAGAUGCAUGCCGAGGAGAGGUAUCACCACUAUGAGGUUAGGGAGCUGUUGGAGGCAUGUAUUGACUGUCGCUGGCUCCGCUCCGCCAUGCCAAUUCGAGUGAUUGGAUUGCCUGCCAAACAUUCCAUAUAAUUUCCCAACCACAGAGCCUAAUGCAGGUUAGGUUAUUUUCUUCUUUAAGAUCAAUCUACCAUUCAAUUGCUUGCAUCCGUUCCAGGUUCCAUGGAUUUGAUCGAGACAUCAUUUGUGUAUUUAACUAAGUGAAUGCAGAAUGCAGUUUCAUAAAUAUGACAAGCGAUCACAACAUGAAGCGAUGAUUGGGAUUAAGCUUUAUGUUUUGUUCCGUUGUUUCGGAAUUGCUUAUCUUUACAGAUUAAUUUCAUGCAUAGUUUGACCCUUAGAAAAGAAGUUUUAAACUUAUAAUACAUGCAGAUCAUCUUGAGGAAUACAACAACGACAAGAAAAAACUCAGCUACGUGUACUACAUUUUAAGUCGAUUGCAUGUGCAACACCAUUCGUGUUCCGGCAUGAGGUCUGCUGAUGUUAAGCUGCUAGGAGUCACAUAGCUGCGUACUUCAUGCAUACAUCUUUUUCUGUGCCGCAAGGAGAAUUGAGUUGCGGAUAAUGUUGACGCGCCAUGCUUUACAGAUUGAAAGAUGGGAGCUUGCUACAUGAUCAGAGACAACAAUUAGAUUACGAGAGUAAAAAUUAUCGUAUUUCAUGGAUCUAGGGUAUUCACUUGAGUAUGUAACCAUUUUUUAAAUCUUCUCUACGGACAUGGUUUUUACCAUUUUUUAAAUCUGCUCUACGGACAUGGUUUUUUUAAGGUAAAUGGUUCUUUUUGCAAAUAUAUAGCAGUGCAAAUUAGCCUCGAGAUGUCCAUAUUGGUCAGGUGUGCGUGAAAUCAAUGUACGUUGAAAGAAAGUGGCUUCAGAUGUACGGCCAUGUGCAGCCUUCGAAUAUUUCAAGUACUUAUGUGUAAUCUAAAUUAGGUUUAGCUUUACUAUACGCUGCCAACCUAAUGUCACACAGGAAAGAGGUUUGCAAUAUUAAUGGGAAAGAAAAACGAUUCUCUCUAA
Lolium rigidum is the source of this 3464-nucleotide long non-coding RNA. RefSeq lists it as uncharacterized. The transcript is spliced from 5 exons. Lineage: Eukaryota; Viridiplantae; Streptophyta; Magnoliopsida; Poales; Poaceae. The record is from RefSeq and is a predicted model, not a curated record.